Molecule: long non-coding RNA, 682 nt
Filed under: Olea europaea subsp. europaea
Lineage: Eukaryota; Viridiplantae; Streptophyta; Magnoliopsida; Lamiales; Oleaceae
Source: RNAcentral
CUUUAUGAGAAAGUGAAAUGAAAUGCAUUGCAAUGUUCUACAUUCAAGAAAGACGAAUUGGGCAGGAUCAAUGAAACCAUGAUAGCUUCAACAAAAAUGAAUUACGGUAUAGAUAGAUUAAAGGGAAAGUGAAACCGCUUGCAUAAGAUUCAUCGCAUGUUCUCUGAACUUUUGGGACAUAUAGGUGUUACAUGGGAUCCAAUUUAUCGACAAAGUUAAUGCUGCAGAGGAAGUUUGGCAACACUUUUAUAAGGUACAUAUUUACAUUUUUUUGUUGAAUACUAUGACCAUGUGGCUUCUUUUUUCAAUGAUAGAUUAAUAAGUCGGAUUACAAGAUAUUCAAGAGGAAAGGAUGUAAGCACUACCACACUCUUGUACAGAUAUUCAGCAGGGCUAGAGCUACUGGAGGAUUACGCAACGCCUCCACUCAAAUGGAGAUAUGUUGCAGCUUGGGUACCUUCAUCAAGACAAACAUCUUUUUGUGGAAGGAAAACUAAUAUAACACAAAUUCUUACUUCAUGUUGUGCAAUAAACAACUUUAUUCGUCAGGAGCAUGCUUUAGAUAAGUUGUUCAUUGAGUAUUCAGAGGAGAUUGUGGUGUUUCAAGAUAUAAUGGAGUCAAGUCAAAAUCAAGAAGUCAUACAUUUUAAUGCUAGUCAAACAGCUCAAAUGGAACAAGUCA